GGGGUUAUAGCUCAGUGGUAGAGCAUUCGAUUAUACAUCGAGAGGUCCCCGGAUCGAAUCCUGGUGACCCCU
Molecule: non-coding RNA, 72 nt
Organism: Ruditapes philippinarum (Manila clam)
Lineage: Eukaryota; Metazoa; Mollusca; Bivalvia; Venerida; Veneridae
Source: the annotation of a RefSeq genome assembly